GGCUUUAUGGUUGAAUAGGAAUGAUUUGGUAUUUUACAAAAACGUUAGAAGUUGCCGCUGCACUUAAUUGUCCUUUAUUUUUGCAUUGCAUUUCAGUUGUAGCUACCCCUCACAAGUCAUAAGUGAAUUGGAGAUCCUAUAUUGAGAGUUGUCAAAUCGACAAAUGGCCUAUAGCAAAUCAAAUAAGAAACACGUGCGCGUGACAAUCUUCCACAAAUCCAUUCAUGUUGGCGCAUUGACGGGUUCCUUUGGUCGAUCUCUAGGAGGUAAGUAACCACAUAAGGAGUACCAGCAAACAGCAACCUCCAUCCAUCUGAUUUGACGACACAGCUAAACAAAAUAGUCAUCGACAAAGACUCGUCGAUUAAUAGACGACUAGCUACAUAGAAAGAAACUCAUAGCAUUUAUCUCUCUUCUACUAUAGCUUGAUUAAUGCGAUGUAGUCCCUAUAUUAUUGUUCCAAGAUGUAUCCAUCACAAAACCUACCAUGAUGGCAAUCGUGUCGUGGAAUUAACAUCCGGGAAUCGGUCGCGGACGGAUCGAUCAGACCAAUGCCGUCUAGUUUAAGGUGGUCCAGAUUUUUACGACCUUUUUCUCCAGCACACAGAUCGUUGACUCAGAAUUACAUAUAGAUCAAUGUAAGGUCACGGCUAUGGCUUCUUUCAAAAAAAAAAAAAAAAGUUAACAACCAUGGUGGAUCAAUUUUGACUAGCGCUGUUGUUCUUUCCUUUUUCCUAUCUAAAACCAGAUUACAAAUAGAAACAAUGGUGUGUAUAAGCAACGCCUUUUGUUUUUGUCUCGUGCGCCAUAGAGUAGAAACAAUGAAGCGCUGCUCAUGCUGCAUGCAUGGCGACGAAAGAAUUUAUAAGCAUCUAAGGACAUAUGCACGUGCAGAUCGAAUAAGGGAGCGUAUAUACAUACUAGCCACAGUCAGUGGCAGGGGGAGGGAGGCUGAGGGGACCCGGCAUGCCCCAACAAUAACCAGCCCCCACUAUUAGCUAGUUUUUUGUCCUGAUCUCUAACAAUUUACUAGUAGCAUCUAUCUAUAUAAUUUAGGAUUAGUUAUUUACUUUGAUAUCUUCUUCAUCUCUUUUGUUCUUGUUAUUUUUGUAAUUUUAUUACCUACCGAUUGAUCCCUAUAAUAUACCCUAAUUAGCUAGUUAAUAAAUGUAGUUAGUGUUUCGCUUGUUUAUUCUCCUUUCCUACUUAUCUCCAGCA
RNAcentral lists this long non-coding RNA (1218 nucleotides) under Sorghum bicolor (sorghum). Its description in RNAcentral is "long non-coding RNA (SBIC_LNC003537)". The record is from RNAcentral. Lineage: Eukaryota; Viridiplantae; Streptophyta; Magnoliopsida; Poales; Poaceae.